This 253-nucleotide ribosomal RNA is filed under the name uncultured bacterium. Its description in RNAcentral is "partial 16S ribosomal RNA". It matches the Rfam family "Bacterial small subunit ribosomal RNA", at positions 524 to 776 of the family's 1533-position model. The record is from RNAcentral.
UACGUAGGGUGCAAGCGUUGUCCGGAAUUAUUGGGCGUAAAGAGCGUGUAGGCGGCCAGAAAAGUCCGCUGUGAAAACUCGAGGCUCAACUUCGAGCUGUCGGUGGAAACUUUCUGGCUAGAGUCCGGAAGAGGAGAAUGGAAUUCCUGGUGUAGCGGUGAAAUGCGCAGAUAUCAGGAAGAACACCCGUGGCGAAGGCGGUUCUCUGGGACGGUACUGACGCUGAGACGCGAAAGCGUGGGGAGCGAACAGG